UGCUUGGAAAGUACUCAACGAAGAAGAGAAUGCUCAUUGUAUCUGCUUUGUCUUCAUCAACUGGUCCUUUGUUUGAGAUUUAUGUGUACUUUUGAAUAAUCUGUUUUUAAUUUUCAGAGGAACCUUUUGCCUCGUGGUUGUUAUUGCAAGACAGGCUAUAUUGCUGUUUUUGAUGUUUGUUGGGAAACACAUUAACAGUAUUUUGUUUGAAAACUCAAGACAUACUUUGCUUUUAAUUGAUUAUGUGUGAUGAUGAUGAUGAUGAUCCUUUCCUUUUCUCUGAUUAUUAGUGCAUUUAGCUUUCCAAAAUUUCUAUUCAAUUUCUUUUCAAAAGAUUUGCAGUGUUAUGGCAAUCAUUACAAUUACACUCAACAAUGACUUGGUGUUCAGGAUAAAGUUGAGAUGCAAACUGGAAAUUUGAAUGUUUAGGAUAAUGCUGAAAUUUAAACACAGACACUAGAUUUUGACCCGAGCUUGAAAGCGCGGAUUCUUUUGUUAUAACAAAUUUUGAUAUUAAUUAGUAUUUUGUGAUUGUUUUACAUUAUUAUGUUACAAAGUCGAAUUAUGUAAAAGAACUAAUUUUAAAAAAAUUAUAUAAUUCAUGAAUUACUUUAUUUAGAAUUCUGUAUAAAUCUUAUGUAAUUCUCUCUUACGCAUGGGUAUUUUAGAUGGACCUUGAAAAAUCAAACCAAAAUCAACUCGAAAAUACUGGUUCACGCCGGGUCCAGAGAAAAAUACGUAUUUGUUGAAAAAUGCGGGUUUCUGUUCGCGUCUGAGACCUACCCGAAACCUGUUUGGGAGCCAAAGUACCCAAAAUGUUUGUGUAUAUUAGAUAUAUUUGUGUAUUUUCGAUAUGUUUUUGGUAUACAUAUAUUUUUGAUUUUUUGGUUCGAAUUUUUGGUUAUAGUUUUGGAUUUCGAGUAAAAAUUAAAAUUUUAAAAAUAUAUUUUUGGGUAUUCAGAUACAAUUUUGGGUAUUUUUUGGUUCAUCGUUCAGAUUUCGAUACAAUUUUAGGUCUUUUGAGUAUUUUCUGAUUUUCGGGUAUUUGUUUAGAUUUUGGAUAUUUUUCGUGUUUCGAGUAUUUUUAUGUUUAUCGAGUUUUAUUUGAGUCCUAAAUAUCUGAACGGAUCCAUACCCGUUACGUACAAAAAAUAACAUAUAUUUUAUAGGUAUUUGAAUUAUGGAGUCGAAACCAUCCAGAUCCUCUGUUGUGUGAUCUUAUCAGGGACUUUCAAACUCUCACUGCAGUUUUCAGAAGAUUAUCCAAACAAACCACCAACGGUUCGGUUUGUUUCAAGGAUGUUCCAUCCAAAUAGUAAGUUGAAAAUAACAACACUAACCUUUCUUAUUCUUAGGGCAUGUGAUACCCACGAAGCUUACACUUGGUCAUUGUCGUGUGUAGUUUAUGCUGAUGGGAGUAUAUGCUUGGACAUUCUCCAAAACCAGUGGAGUCCAAUUUAUGAUGUCGCUGCUAUACUUACCUCCAUCCAGGUAUAAUAUAUAUAUAUAUAUAUAUAUAUAUAUAUAUAUGGUCUAAGUUUUGCACCAGAUGAUUCUUUUUUUUUUCUGUUUAUAUUAGGUGCUACAUGGGCGUUGAGCUACUUAAAUUGAACAGCGAAGGCAAUGAAUCUAUUCUCAAGAACCUUUGGCAUCAUACGGAUGCUAUCAUCUGCUGCUCAAUGAAGGUACUAACUCAAAUAUCAAGCACAUGAAUGUUUUAUUCACUGAUCCUUUUAUAACCUUUUUGUAUAGGCCAUGCCUGUCUUCACAUUUGCAAACCAGGCAGGACUUGACAUGCUUGAGACUACAUUGGUUUCUCUUCAAGAUAUCACUCUAGAGAAGAUAUUUGAUGACAGUGGAAGAAAGACUCUGUGCUCUGAGUUCCCACAGAUUAUGCAACAGGUUUUCAACAACGUUCUGAUAUGAUUUGUGUCGUAGAUUGAUACAGCUUUUUAUUUGUCUUACUGGGAUGUUUUGGUUUAGGGUUUUGGGAGUCUUCAAGGUGGGAUAUGUAUCUCAAGCAUGGGGAGACCAGUUUCAUAUGAGAGAGCUGUUGCUUGGAAAGUACUCAACGAAGAAGAGAAUGCUCAUUGUAUCUGCUUUGUCUUCAUCAACUGGUCCUUUGUUUGAGAUUUAUGUGUACUUUUGAAUAAUCUGUUUUUAAUUUUCAGAGGAACCUUUUGCCUCGUGGUUGUUAUUGCAAGACAGGCUAUAUUGCUGUUUUUGAUGUUUGUUGGGAAACACAUUAACAGUAUUUUGUUUGAAAACUCAAGACAUACUUUGCUUUUAAUUGAUUAUGUG
RNAcentral lists this long non-coding RNA (2301 nucleotides) under Brassica napus (rape). RNAcentral describes it as "long non-coding RNA (BNAP_LNC014676)". Lineage: Eukaryota; Viridiplantae; Streptophyta; Magnoliopsida; Brassicales; Brassicaceae. The record is from RNAcentral.